CAAGGAUAUCACAGAAGUUCAAGUUGCAAAAUUUUCAUUUGAUAACCAUUUUCAGAGAAUGUACAUAAGCAGGAAAAGGGGAAAAAUCUUCUUGCAAUUUCCAUUUCCCCCAAAGACAUCAUUAUCCAUUAAGCACAUUCUUUAACAAGCCCAUUCCUCAUCAAGUGAUCAGAGUGUAACAGUGGUCAGUCCAUGUGCAUCACAAUGCCUUGGCACCAGGUGAUGCUCAAUCCACAUGCACAUGCAGGACAGAACCUUGGAACAAGGUCGUGACAUCAUUGACAGCACAUUUGAAAAUCUUGCUAAUUUAACCUGCUUCCUACUGCUGCCCCAAUAAUACCAAUCCAGUGUGCAAAACUAAAGUAACUUGAAUCAUUAGUCAAUAGGCCGGAGAAGAGAACCCUUACAAAAGUGCAAA
RNAcentral lists this unclassified non-coding RNA (418 nucleotides) under Hevea brasiliensis (rubber tree). Lineage: Eukaryota; Viridiplantae; Streptophyta; Magnoliopsida; Malpighiales; Euphorbiaceae. The record is from RNAcentral.